UACGGGGGGGGCAAGCGUUGUUCGGAAUUACUGGGCGUAAAGCGCGCGUAGGCGGCUUUGUAAGUUAGAGGUGAAAGCCCGGGGCUCAACCCCGGAAUUGCCUUUAAGACUGCAUCGCUUGAAUCCGGGAGAGGUGAGUGGAAUUCCGAGUGUAGAGGUGAAAUUCGUAGAUAUUCGGAAGAACACCAGUGGCGAAGGCGGCUCACUGGACCGGUAUUGACGCUGAGGUGCGAAAGCGUGGGGAGCAAACAGG
RNAcentral lists this ribosomal RNA (253 nucleotides) under uncultured bacterium. RNAcentral's name for it is "partial 16S ribosomal RNA". It matches the Rfam family "Bacterial small subunit ribosomal RNA", at positions 524 to 776 of the family's 1533-position model. The record is from RNAcentral.